AUGAGCAGCCUUUUCAGCCAUCAACCAAUCAUUCUUCACUCAUUCAUACAGAAGAGGGUAUAUCCUUACAGGACACCAGUUCAUUCACAUAAAAAUUCAUCCACAUAUUAUGCCCAUUCAAUCAUUCCUUCACAAGACAAAUUAACAUAUGACAUUUAUAUAAGAAUCAACAUAAUACAUCGAUCAUCUUUUGGCCACCCAUACAUGAAUAAACGUAUAAAUACAAAAUAUAUGUGUGUUAAUAUGGUUCCACAUAGUCUCCUCAUGACGGAUCUGGGGAGUCUUGUCUUCUUGGUGGAUGACCCGAGGAGAGUUGGUUUUGUGUCGGCAUAUCUGAAGAGAGAUAUACCAUCAUGGUUGGAUUAUACAGAAAGAUAUGGAAGCGAACUACAAGAUCAGGAGAGAACGAAAGAACAAACAUCAUCGCUAAUUGAGGACUCAAGUGCCUAUUCCUUGUAUCGAGGUAGGAUUUGA
RNAcentral lists this ribosomal RNA (474 nucleotides) under Triticum aestivum (bread wheat). Its description in RNAcentral is "partial small subunit ribosomal RNA". Lineage: Eukaryota; Viridiplantae; Streptophyta; Magnoliopsida; Poales; Poaceae. The record is from RNAcentral.